CCGUAGCCUGGUAGCGGGGGGUAACUAUUGGAAACGAUAGCUAAUACCGCAUGAAAUUUGCUUAUCGCAUGAUAAUUAAUUGAAAGAUGCAAUUGCAUCACUACCAGAUGGACCUGCGUUGUAUUAGCUAGUUGGUGAGGUAACGGCUCACCAAGGCGACGAUACAUAGCCGACCUGAGAGGGUGAUCGGCCACACUGGGACUGAGACACGGCCCAG
Molecule: ribosomal RNA, 217 nt
Filed under: uncultured bacterium
Lineage: Bacteria
Description: partial 16S ribosomal RNA
Rfam family: Bacterial small subunit ribosomal RNA
Source: RNAcentral